RNAcentral lists this ribosomal RNA (515 nucleotides) under uncultured bacterium. RNAcentral's name for it is "bacterial SSU rRNA". It matches the Rfam family "Archaeal small subunit ribosomal RNA", at positions 345 to 855 of the family's 1478-position model. The record is from RNAcentral.
AACCUCCGCAAUGUGAGAAAUCGCGACGGGGGGAUCCCAAGUGCCAUUCUUAACGGGAUGGCUUUUCUUAAGUGUAAAAAGCUUUUGGAAUAAGAGCUGGGCAAGACCGGUGCCAGCCGCCGCGGUAACACCGGCAGCUCUAGUGGUAGCUGUUUUUAUUGGGCCUAAAGCGUUCGUAGCCGGUUUGAUAAGUCACUGGUGAAAUCCUGUAGCUUAACUGUGGGAAUUGCUGGUGAUACUGUUGAACUUGAGGUCGGGAGAGGUUAGCGGUACUCCCAGGGUAGAGGUGAAAUUCUGUAAUCCUGGGAGGACCACCUGUGGCGAAGGCGGCUAACUGGAACGAACCUGACGGUGAGGGACGAAAGCUAGGGGCGCGAACCGGAUUAGAUACCCGGGUAGUCCUAACCGUAAACGAUGCGGACUUGGUGUUGGGGUGGCUUUGAGCUGCUCCAGUGCCGAAGGGAAGCUGUUAAGUCCGCCGCCUGGGAAGUACGGUCGCAAAGAACUAGGAAAAC